CCUACGGGAGGCUGCAGUGGGGAAUAUUGGACAAUGGGGGGAACCCUGAUCCAGCGACGCCGCGUGAGUGAAGAAGUAUUUCGGUAUGUAAAGCUCUAUCAGCAGGGAAGAAAGAAAUGACGGUACCUGACUAAGAAGCCCCGGCUAACUACGUGCCAGCAGCCGCGGUAAUACGUAGGGGGCAAGCGUUAUCCGGCUUUACUGGGGGUAAAGGGAGCGUAGACGGCGAUGCAAGUCUGAAGUGAAAGGCGGGGGCACAACCCCUGGACUGCUUUGGAAACUGUAUGGCUGGAGUGCAGGAGAGGUAAGUGGAAUUCCUAGUGUAGCGGUGAAAUGCGUAGAUAUUAGGAGGAACACCAGUGGCGAAGGCGGCUUACUGGACUGUAACUGACGUUGAGGCUCGAAAGCGUGGGGAGCAAACAGGAUUAGAUACCCGAGUAGUC
This 443-nucleotide ribosomal RNA is filed under the name uncultured bacterium. Its description in RNAcentral is "partial 16S ribosomal RNA". It matches the Rfam family "Bacterial small subunit ribosomal RNA", at positions 338 to 795 of the family's 1533-position model. The record is from RNAcentral.